GCUCCGCCGGUCGCCUUCUGCAGGUGGGCGUCGCCGCCGUCUAACUCGCAACCGGGUCGGGGGCUCCCGGAAGUGCUCUUGCGGAUUACUGCCUGGCACAGCUGUCAUUCUUCUCUACAGAAGAGCUUCUCCUCAUCAACUGGGGAUGAUUACAGUUCUUCCUAAAAAAGGAUGGCUGCUCUUUUUCUAAAGAGGUUAACACUACAAACUGUAAAGUCUGAAAAUAGUUGCAUUAGAUGUUUUGGUAAACACAUCGUGCAAAAGACAGCACCAACACAGUUGUCCCCUAUUGCUUCUGCCCCAAGACUCUCCUUCCUAAUUCAUGCAAAAGCCUUUAGUAACGCUGAAGACACCCAGAAUGAAGGAAAAAAGAAAAAAAAGAAUAAAACAGCUUUUAGUAACAUUGGAAGAAAAAUUAGUCAGCGAAUUAUUCACUUAUUUGAUGAGAAGGGCAAUGAUUUGGGAAACAUGCAUCGAGCAAAUGUGAUUAGACUUAUGGAUGAGCGACACCUGCGACUGGUUGAAAGGAACACCAGCACAGAACCUGCAGAGUACCAGCUCAUGACAGGACUGCAGAUCUUCCAGGAGCAGCAGAGGCUGAGGGAGAUGGAGAAGGCGAGCCCCAAAACUGGACCAACCGUAAGAAAGGAACUGAUUUUGUCUUCAAAUAUUGGACAACAUGAUUUGGACACAAAGACUAAACAGAUUCAGCAGUGGAUUAAGAAAAAACACCUAGUCCAGAUUACUAUAAAGAAAGGAA
This 760-nucleotide small RNA is filed under the name Pongo abelii (Sumatran orangutan). Its description in RNAcentral is "processed transcript". The record is from RNAcentral. Lineage: Eukaryota; Metazoa; Chordata; Mammalia; Primates; Hominidae.